UUUGUGUCUCAUUAUUUAAAUUUAGCAUAAACCUCUAUUAUACUCAUAUUCUACCAAGCUCCCUUGCCUCUUUAUUUUCAUCUAAUAUAUGCACAUACACAAAAACAAUUGUGUAGGUAGAAAAUAAAAAUAGCGUGAUUCUUGGAUCUUAUCUUUCAAAAUUCAUUUGAUCAAACGAGAUAUGAUAUUAUAUGCAAGUUGUUCUGUCAUUUCAAUAUUAUGAUUUUUAUACGUGAUUUAUUUCAUGAAAUGCUAAUUGAGCUACGGGUCCCAAUGAAAUGAAAUGUGAGAUCUCCUUCGAGUCUUCUCAAAUGUGCUAGAGCAUUCAAUUGAUCACCGAUCGCUCUUGAUGAAAUGAUGGUACAUAAUGUUAUGAAUUCAUGUUUUUAAAGUUAUCGUAUUGUAUUGGACACACGUAUCCGACUGAGUAUAAAUUAUUCACUCCAAUUUUAACAUUUCAGAUUAGAUUAGUCGACGGAAAUGGUGGCCGAGCAGUGCGCGGAUUGUCAAGUAAAGAAAAUUUUCAAUAAAAUAUUUAAAAAUAAUUUUGUUAAGAUAUUUUUUUUUUGUUUUUCUUUAAUUCCAUUUAACGCUCUAAAUUCUAUGACACUGUUAUUUUAUUUUCAAAUAAAUUAAGGGUUCUAAAUUUUCAAUUAAUUAUUUCCGCUUCAAGUAUGUUUAUGAAAUGAUAUCGAUAAUACCCCAAUAUUUAAGUCGAUAAAAUUCGGGGCGUUACAAAAUAUCCAUACAUCUCACUUUAUGAAACCUGAGAAAAAGAUAGUUUGCUUAGCACAAGUGAACGAAAUGGAACGGGAGUUGUGGAAAUAGUUUGUGAGGGUCUUCUGGAGUUCUUUAACGGCUCGGAGCAUUUGCCUCCCAGAUAUUAGGAAGAAGGGUUUAUGUGUUCUGAAGGGGUAGUGGAAAAUGGUGCGCAAGGGCGGUAAAUGAAAAUAUGGAGGUGGAUGGAUUUAGCUCCAAUCAUGCGAAAGGCUAAACUCAAGAGAAUGUAUAUUUUGACCCUAAUUUCUCUUAGAACAACCAUAAUGGCUUUGAAUCUUUUAUGAGAUAAUUUUUGAGUUGUUAAGAAGGAUGAAGAUUUUUAUUAGAAAUGACAAUGGCUUGUGAAUGGAAAUAAAUCUUUUGUUCUCAGCGUGAUUAUAAACUGUUUUUGGAACCAUAUAUUCCUUGAUUGGAGUAAAUCUUAUAAUUGAAAAUUAGUCAAAUUUUCUGAUUUUCUUUUGGUUCAUUCAUUAUCAAGAAAAUGCACGAGUUCAUCGUGUUAUCUAGUUAAUUUUAUGGUGGAGGCCAUGUGGUGCCGGGCAUACACUGCUUCCUUCGUCAUGGGGAGCAAUUAAUAAUUUCUGAUUGAUUUAUAAUUAUUUUUUAAAAAUUUGGGACUAUGAUUAUAAUUAAUUCUUUAUUUUUUAUUUUUGUUUUAGUUGAAUGGAAGGGUAAAAUCGUCAAAACGGAUGAAAAUGACUUUUUG
Molecule: long non-coding RNA, 1486 nt
Filed under: Olea europaea subsp. europaea
Lineage: Eukaryota; Viridiplantae; Streptophyta; Magnoliopsida; Lamiales; Oleaceae
Source: RNAcentral